GCGUCCGUAGCUCAGCUGGAUAGAGUACCUGGCUACGAACCAGGCGGUCAGAGGUUCGAAUCCUCUCGGACGCGCC
Molecule: transfer RNA, 76 nt
Filed under: Vibrio cholerae
Lineage: Bacteria; Pseudomonadati; Pseudomonadota; Gammaproteobacteria; Vibrionales; Vibrionaceae
Description: tRNA-Arg
Rfam family: tRNA
About the family: Transfer RNA (tRNA) molecules are approximately 80 nucleotides in length.
Source: RNAcentral